Molecule: long non-coding RNA, 970 nt
Organism: Carlito syrichta (Philippine tarsier)
Lineage: Eukaryota; Metazoa; Chordata; Mammalia; Primates; Tarsiidae
Exons: 4
Source: RefSeq, a predicted model, not a curated record
AGGAGGUGAAAACAGAAGAAUACGGUAAUCAGCACACUUUCUUUUAAACUGAAGAGAGUUUAUGUCUCUUUCAACACAGCUGCUCUCUUAACAAAUUGUUUUUUUUUUCAUUUUUACCUGAAUUAGUGAGGUAUUUGCUCAUAAAUGUUUUGUGAGCAAGUUCAAUAGUAACUCAAGAAAAUUGCCAUAGCAAAAAAUAGAAGAACUGAUUCAAAAAAACAAGACUUACUGUCUGCAAAUAAAUACCUAACACUGUUUGCUUUCUUGAGCAUCCAUUGAAGUAAGUGUGCUGAGUUCAAGUCCAGAGUAUCAUUAUAAUUGAGAAAGAAAGUUGUGACUAGAAGAAAGAGUUGCCUGCUAAGACAAUGCAGGGGAAUAUGCAGAAGAGUGGCAGUUAUCAGAGCUGGGGUCAGUGGUCUGGGGAUUAUUAAGUGCUGCUUGGAUGAAGAGCUAGAGCCCGCCUGCUUUUGACAAUGUGAUGAUAUCGAGGUACCUGGAGAUUCCAAGAAAAGUAACUGGUGAAAACAUGAUCAUCCUUCCAAGGUUUCACAGGUUCAGCCAAAGGACCAGAACUCUUCAUCCGUCCAUAAAGUAGCCCACCAACACUGCCAUCUCUCCUUUGUGGAACUGCAGUAAGUGGUCAGAAGAGAAAGGUCACUAAUAUUCAGGUUGUGCCUAACACUGUUAAAUUAUAAGACAUGAGGAAGAGUUUGUUGAAGUUGAUAAUUGGCUCUUCCUAGAAGAAGGGGCAGCAGAUUCUGGAGGAAAGCAUACAUUUGAGUAAAGUACUAAAGAAAGAAAGCAGUAGCACUGAAAGGAAAAGAUGAAGAACCAAACAAAGGAGUACCCCCUGAGACCUGGCUCUUUCUCCUCGCCCUCAUCCAAUGUGAAUGGCUUGGCAUUGAGGAGUAAGGUAGCAGACAUCACAAUGAAACAACAUCUUUCUCCCAUCUCCCAACUCUACAACUUG